RNAcentral lists this transfer RNA (72 nucleotides) under Chrysemys picta bellii (western painted turtle). RNAcentral's name for it is "tRNA-Cys (ACA) (tRNA-Cys-ACA-4-1)". It matches the Rfam family "tRNA". From Rfam's summary of the family: Transfer RNA (tRNA) molecules are approximately 80 nucleotides in length. Their secondary structure includes four short double-helical elements and three loops (D, anti-codon, and T loops). The record is from Rfam by way of RNAcentral. Lineage: Eukaryota; Metazoa; Chordata; Testudines; Emydidae.
GGGGAUAUAGCUUGGUGGUAGAGUGUUUGACUACAGCUCAAGUGGUCCUUGGUUCAAAUCCAAGUUCCCUCU